This 490-nucleotide ribosomal RNA is filed under the name uncultured bacterium. RNAcentral describes it as "partial 16S ribosomal RNA". It matches the Rfam family "Bacterial small subunit ribosomal RNA", at positions 30 to 507 of the family's 1533-position model. The record is from RNAcentral.
AUUGAACGCUGGCGGCAGGCCUAACACAUGCAAGUCGAACGGUAACAGGAAGAAGCUUGCUUCUUUGCUGACGAGUGGCGGACGGGUGAGUAAUGUCUGGGAAACUGCCUGAUGGAGGGGGAUAACUACUGGAAACGGUAGCUAAUACCGCAUAACGUCGCAAGACCAAAGAGGGGGACCUUCGGGCCUCUUGCCAUCGGAUGUGCCCAGAUGGGAUUAGCUAGUAGGUGGGGUAACGGCUCACCUAGGCGACGAUCCCUAGCUGGUCUGAGAGGAUGACCAGCCACACUGGAACUGAGACCAGGUCCAGACCCCUACGGGAGGCAGCCGUGGGGAAUAUUGCACAAUGGGCGCAAGCCUGAUGCCGCCAUGCCGCGUGUAUGAAGAAGGCCUUCGGGUUUUAAAGUACUUUCAGCGGGGAGGAAGGGAGUAAAGUUAAUACCUUUACUCAUUGACGUUACCCGCAGAAGAAGCACCGGCUAACUCCGUG